This 682-nucleotide ribosomal RNA is filed under the name Khoyollomyces ramosus. RNAcentral's name for it is "partial large subunit ribosomal RNA". It matches the Rfam family "Eukaryotic large subunit ribosomal RNA", at positions 55 to 657 of the family's 3401-position model. The record is from RNAcentral. Lineage: Eukaryota; Fungi; Neocallimastigomycota; Neocallimastigomycetes; Neocallimastigales; Neocallimastigaceae.
GGAAAAGAAACUAACAAGGAUUCCCCUAGUAACGGCGAGUGAAGCGGGAAGAGCUCAAAUUUGAAAUCUUAAAGGGUUUCCCUUUACGAAUUGUAGUUUAAAGAAGUGUUUUCUGUUGAGGUUUUGGUAAAAGUUCUUUGGAAUAGGACAUCAUAGAGGGUGAGAAUCCCGUAUUUGACCUUUACUUUCAACUUUGUGAUACACUUUCAAAGAGUCGGAUUGUUUGGGAAUGCAGUCCAAAAUGGGUGGUAAAUUUCAUCUAAAGCUAAAUAUUGGCGAGAGACCGAUAGCGAACAAGUACCGUGAGGGAAAGAUGAAAAGAACUUUGAAAAGAGAGUUAAACAGUACGUGAAAUUGUCAAAAGGGAAGCGUUUGACACCAGUGUUGUUUUUCUGAAAAUCAAUUAAAGAACUGUUUAUGCUAAGUUGUUUAGACUUUAUCAGCUAACUGUUUAGUUUUGAGCUUUUCUUUAAUGCACUUUUCAGUUAACAAGUCAACAUCAAUUUCUUUUGCUGUAAAAAAGCUUGAGGAAGGUGGCUUGAGAUUCGUCUUAAGUGUUUAUAGCCUCUUGCCUAUGCAGUCGGAGAGAUUGAGGUCUGCAGCGUAGAUCCUUCGGGGCUAAAUGCAUUUGUGCUAAGUUAUAGCAUUUUAUAGACAACUUGUUGACUAUGAUUUGUCUUGU